AUACUUACCUGACAAGGGAGAUUCCAUGAUCGAGAAGGCGAUUUUCCCGGGGAGAGGCUUAUCCGUUGCACUCUCGAAGUGCUGGCCCCUGUGAUUCCCCAGAUGUGGGAGACUCAGCUGCAUAAUCUGUGGCAGUGGGGACGGUGUUCGAGCUCUGCCCUG
Non-coding RNA from Myotis brandtii (Brandt's bat), 162 nucleotides. NCBI's taxonomy places the organism in Eukaryota, Metazoa, Chordata, Mammalia, Chiroptera, Vespertilionidae. The record is from Rfam.